Molecule: ribosomal RNA, 254 nt
Filed under: uncultured bacterium
Lineage: Bacteria
Description: partial 16S ribosomal RNA
Rfam family: Bacterial small subunit ribosomal RNA
Source: RNAcentral
UACAGAGGGUGCGAGCGUUGUCCGGAAUCACUGGGCGUAAAGGGCGCGUAGGCGGCUUGAUAAGGUUGCGGUGAAAGCCCGGGGCUCAACCCCGGGUCGGCCGUGGCAACUGUCGAGCUGGAGCACUGUAGAGGCAGGUGGAAUUCCGGGUGUAGCGGUGGAAUGCGUAGAGAUCCGGAAGAACACCGGUGGCGAAGGCGGCACUCUGGGACGGUACUGGACGCUCAUGCACGAAAGCGUGGGGAGCAAACAGG